RNAcentral lists this ribosomal RNA (253 nucleotides) under uncultured bacterium. Its description in RNAcentral is "partial 16S ribosomal RNA". It matches the Rfam family "Bacterial small subunit ribosomal RNA", at positions 524 to 776 of the family's 1533-position model. The record is from RNAcentral.
UACGGAGGGUGCGAGCGUUGUUCGGAUUUAUUGGGCGUAAAGCGCGUGUAGGCGGCUUUGUAAGUCUGAUGUGAAAGCCCCGGGCUCAACCUGGGAAGUGCAUUGGAUACUGCAAGACUUGAAUACGGGAGAGGGUAGUGGAAUUCCUGGUGUAGGAGUGAAAUCCGUAGAUAUCAGGAGGAACACCGGUGGCGAAGGCGGCUGCCUGGACCGAUAUUGACGCUGAGACGCGAAAGCGUGGGUAGCAAACAGG